Molecule: ribosomal RNA, 253 nt
Filed under: uncultured bacterium
Lineage: Bacteria
Description: partial 16S ribosomal RNA
Rfam family: Bacterial small subunit ribosomal RNA
Source: RNAcentral
UACAGAGGUCUCAAGCGUUGUUCGGAUUCAUUGGGCGUAAAGGGUGCGUAGGUGGCGAGGUUAGUCAGGUGUGAAAUCUCGGGGCUCAACCCCGAAACUGCACUUGAUACUGCCUUGUUAGAGUACUGGAGAGGAGAUUGGAAUUUACGGUGUAGCAGUGAAAUGCGUAGAUAUCGUAAGGAAGACCAGUGGCGAAGGCGAAUCUCUGGACAGUUACUGACACUGAGGCACGAAGGCCAGGGGAGCAAACGGG